This 483-nucleotide ribosomal RNA is filed under the name uncultured bacterium. Its description in RNAcentral is "partial 16S ribosomal RNA". It matches the Rfam family "Bacterial small subunit ribosomal RNA", at positions 28 to 523 of the family's 1533-position model. The record is from RNAcentral.
GACGAACGCUGGCGGCGUGCUUAACACAUGCAAGUCGAACGAUGAAGCUGGAGCUUGCUCCGGUGUAUUAGUGGCGAACGGGUGAGUAACACGUGAGCAAUCUGCCCUUGACUCUGGGAUAACUGCGGGAAACUGUAGCUAAUACCGGAUACGAGGCUCGAAGGCAUCUUCGGGUCUGGAAAGAAUUUCGGUCAAGGAUGAGCUCGCGGCCUAUCAGCUUGUUGGUGAGGUAAUGGCUCACCAAGGCGACGACGGGUAGCCGGCCUGAGAGGGUAACCGGCCACACUGGGACUGAGACACGGCCCAGACUCCUACGGGAGGCAGCAGUGGGGAAUAUUGCACAAUGGGCGAAAGCCUGAUGCAGCAACGCCGCGUGAGGGAUGAAGGCCUUCGGGUUGUAAACCUCUUUUAGCAGGGAAGAAGCGAAAGUGACGGUACCUGCAGAAAAAGCACCGGCUAACUACGUGCCAGCCGCCGCAGUAA